AUACGGAGGGAGCAAGCGUUAUUCGGAAUCACUGGGCGUAAAGGACGCGUAGGCGGGUUUGUAAGUCAGGUGUGUAAUCCUACAGCUCAACUGUAGAACUGCACUUGAAACUACAGACCUAGAGUAUGGAAGGGGCAGAUGGAAUUAGUGGUGUAGGGGUAAAAUCCGUAGAUAUCACUAGGAAUACCGAAAGCGAAGGCGAUCUGCUGGGACAUUACUGACGCUGAGGCGUGAAAGCGUGGGGAGCAAACAGGAUUAGAAACCCUAGUAGUCC
This 274-nucleotide ribosomal RNA is filed under the name uncultured bacterium. RNAcentral describes it as "partial 16S ribosomal RNA". It matches the Rfam family "Bacterial small subunit ribosomal RNA", at positions 523 to 796 of the family's 1533-position model. The record is from RNAcentral.